GACGAACGCUGGCGGCGUGCCUAAUACAUGCAAGUUGAGCGAUGAAGAUUGGUGCUUGCACCAAUUUGAAGAGCAGCGAACGGGUGAGUAACGCGUGGGGAAUCUGCCUUUGAGCGGGGGACAACAUUUGGAAACGAAUGCUAAUACCGCAUAACAACUUUAAACAUAAGUUUUAAGUUUGAAAGAUGCAAUUGCAUCACUCAAAGAUGAUCCCGCGUUGUAUUAGCUAGUUGGUGAGGUAAAGGCUCACCAAGGCGAUGAUACAUAGCCGACCUGAGAGGGUGAUCGGCCACAUUGGGACUGAGACACGGCCCAAACUCCUACGGGAGGCAGCAGUAGGGAAUCUUCGGCAAUGGACGAAAGUCUGACCGAGCAACGCCGCGUGAGUGAAGAAGGUUUUCGGAUCGUAAAACUCGGUUGGAAGAGAAGAACGUUGGUGAGAGUGGAAAGCUCAUCAAGUGACGGUAACUACCCAGAAAGGGACGGCUAACUACGUG
RNAcentral lists this ribosomal RNA (497 nucleotides) under uncultured bacterium. RNAcentral's name for it is "partial 16S ribosomal RNA". It matches the Rfam family "Bacterial small subunit ribosomal RNA", at positions 28 to 507 of the family's 1533-position model. The record is from RNAcentral.